This 472-nucleotide ribosomal RNA is filed under the name uncultured bacterium. RNAcentral describes it as "bacterial SSU rRNA". It matches the Rfam family "Bacterial small subunit ribosomal RNA", at positions 34 to 507 of the family's 1533-position model. The record is from RNAcentral.
CGCUGGCGGCGUGCUUAAUACAUGCAAGUCAACUUGACUUAGAUAGCAAUAUCGAAAGUAGGGUGGCGCACGGGUGCGUAACGCGUAGGUAAUCUGCCCUGAGGUCUGACAUAACCCGUCGAAAGGCGGACUGACAUCAGAUGAUAUAUAAUCACGACAUCGUGGAAAUAUCAAAUCUUCGGAGCCUUGGGAUGAGCCUGCGUCUGAUUAGGUAGUUGGCGGAGUAAUAGCCCACCAAGCCUACGAUCAGUAGCUGGUCUGAGAGGAUGAUCAGCCACACUGGAACUGAGACACGGUCCAGACUCCUACGGGAGGCAGCAGUAAGGAAUAUUGCUCAAUGGGGGAAACCCUGAAGCAGCAACGCCGCGUGAAGGAUGAAAUACUUUUGUAUGUAAACUUCUGUAAGAUGGGAAAAAUAUUCUCCUCGGGAGAAUUGAUUGUACCAUCAGAGUAAGCCCCGGCUAACUACGUG